UAGAUUCAAUGGUUACAACUGUAUAAUUUAAUCAGAAAAUUAAAUUAAUUAAGUUGUAAUUUCGAGAUCAGGAUGAGCCGAGUUUGGUAUGUUGCUAUAUAGGUAUGGAAACCAGUGAUUGAGAAGUGAUGGAUACAUAUUUUGUUAUAUUUGUAAAUAACAGGUAAGAGAAAGCGAUGGAGCAAUGCCAAUGGUGAAAAUAAAUUUGUAGCAGGGCGGGAGGAUGAUGGGGGAUUUUUGUUUAGCAAGUUGUUUUCAGAAUGCUAAAUUUUUAAUGUUAAUUAUAUUAUGGUGGAGUAAUUUGUAAAACAUGCAUCAUUUGAAUUGAAUUCAGUCAACAAAGUCCCCGUUAAAAAUAAUAAAAGGCAGG
This 370-nucleotide unclassified non-coding RNA is filed under the name Hevea brasiliensis (rubber tree). Lineage: Eukaryota; Viridiplantae; Streptophyta; Magnoliopsida; Malpighiales; Euphorbiaceae. The record is from RNAcentral.